UUAUACUUGGGUGAGAGUGGUC
RNAcentral lists this unclassified non-coding RNA (22 nucleotides) under Dictyostelium discoideum. Lineage: Eukaryota; Evosea; Eumycetozoa; Dictyosteliales; Dictyosteliaceae. The record is from RNAcentral.